RNAcentral lists this ribosomal RNA (401 nucleotides) under Ixodida sp. RNAcentral describes it as "partial large subunit ribosomal RNA". The stretch from base 255 to 401 matches the Rfam family "Bacterial large subunit ribosomal RNA", at positions 2473 to 2620 of the family's 2925-position model. The record is from RNAcentral. Lineage: Eukaryota; Metazoa; Arthropoda; Arachnida; Ixodida.
AUCCUCCUAGAUUUUAUUGAUGCUAAAGAAUGGAAAUUUAAAAAAAAACUUUUUUAAAAAUAAAAAUUGAAUUUUUUUUAAUUUGUGCAAAAACAAUUAUAUUUAUUAAAGACAAGAAGACCCUAAGAAUUUAAGAUUUUACAAUUAAAAAGUUUUUUUUUAAAAUCUUGAUUGGGGGGAUCAAAAAAUAUUAACAACUUUUUAAAAUUUAAAUUGAUCUAUUAUUAAUAAACUAAUGAAUUAAAUACUCUAGGGAUAACAGCGUAAUAAUUUUUGAUAGAUCUUAUUGACAAAAUAGUUUGCGACCCCGAUGUUGGAUUAGGAUUCUUUUUUAAUGAAAAAGUUAAAAAAAAAAGUUUGUUCAACUUUUAAAUUCCUACUUGAUCUGAGUUCAGACCGGA